RNAcentral lists this ribosomal RNA (420 nucleotides) under Fusobacteriota bacterium. Its description in RNAcentral is "Fusobacteria bacterium partial 16S ribosomal RNA". It matches the Rfam family "Bacterial small subunit ribosomal RNA", at positions 355 to 776 of the family's 1533-position model. The record is from RNAcentral. Lineage: Bacteria; Fusobacteriati; Fusobacteriota.
UGGGGGAUAUUGCACAAUGGGCGAAAGCCUGAUGCAGCGACGCCGCGUGGGGGAUGAAGGCCUUCGUGUUGUAAACUUCUUUUGCUCUGAACAAGGCAUGCCUUUGGGGUGUGUUGAGUGUAGGGGUUGAUUAGCGCCGGCUAACUACGUGCCAGCAGCCGCGGUAAUACGUAGGGCGCGAGCGUUGUCCGGAAUUAUUGGGCGUAAAGGGCUUGUAGGUGGCUGGUUGCGUCUGUCGUGAAAGCUCAUGGCUUAACUGUGGGUUUGCGGUGGGUACGGGCUGGCUUGAGUGCAGUAGGGGGGGGUGGAAUUCCUGGUGUAGCGGUGGAAUGCGCGGAUAUCAGGAGGAAUACCGGUGGCGAAGGCGGGUCUCUGGGCUGUUACUGACGCGGAGGGGCGAAAGCGUGGGGAGAGAACAGG